Molecule: ribosomal RNA, 252 nt
Filed under: uncultured bacterium
Lineage: Bacteria
Description: partial 16S ribosomal RNA
Rfam family: Bacterial small subunit ribosomal RNA
Source: RNAcentral
UACGUAGGCAGCAAGCGUUGUUCGGAGUUACUGGGCGUAAAGGGUGUGUAGGCGGCUGUCUAAGUUUGGUGUGAAAUCUCCUGGCUCAACCGGGAGGGUGCGCCGAAAACUGGAUGGCUAGAGGGUGGGAUGGGUAAGUGGAAUUCCUGGUGUAGCGGUGAAAUGCGUAGAUAUCAGGAGGAACACCGGUGGUGUAGACGGCUUACUGGACCAUCACUGACGCUGAGACACGAAAGCGUGGGUAGCAAACAG